This 789-nucleotide ribosomal RNA is filed under the name uncultured bacterium. RNAcentral's name for it is "bacterial SSU rRNA". It matches the Rfam family "Bacterial small subunit ribosomal RNA", at positions 94 to 862 of the family's 1533-position model. The record is from RNAcentral.
AGCGGCGCAAGGGUGCGUAACACGUGGGCAAUCUGCCGUGAAGUUUGGGAUAAUCCCGCGAAAGCGGGACUAAUACCGGAUGUGACAGUUUGGUGGCAUCACCGAGUUGUCAAAGUUGGGGACCGUAAGGCCUGACGCUUCAUGAUGAGCCCGCGGCCUAUCAGGUAGUUGGCGGGGUAACGGCCCACCAAGCCUAAGACGGGUAGCUGGUCUGAGAGGACGACCAGCCACACUGGAACUGAGACACGGUCCAGACACCUACGGGUGGCAGCAGUCGAGAAUUUUUCACAAUGGGCGAAAGCCUGAUGGAGCGACGCCGCGUGGGGGAUGAAUGGCUUCGGCCCGUAAACCCCUGUCAUUCGCGAUCAAACCUUAUCAUUUAAAAGAUGAUGAGCUGAUAGUAGCGGAAGAGGAAGGGACGGCUAACUCUGUGCCAGCAGCCGCGGUAAUACAGAGGUCCCGAGCGUUGUUCGGAUUCACUGGGCGUAAAGGGUGCGUAGGUGGUGAGGUGUGUCGGAUGUGAAAGCUCGGAGCUCAACUCCGAAAUGGCAUUGGAAACUACCUUGCUAGAGGGUUGGAGGGGGGACUGGAAUACUUGGUGUAGCAGUGAAAUGCGUAGAUAUCAAGUGGAACACCAGUGGCGAAGGCGAGUCCCUGGACAACUCCUGACACUGAGGCACGAAAGCUAGGGGAGCAAACAGGAUUAGAUACCCUGGUAGUCCUAGCCGUAAACGGUGCACGUUUGCUGUAAAAGGAAUCGACCCCUUUUGUGGCGAAGCUAACGCGUAA